This 775-nucleotide ribosomal RNA is filed under the name uncultured Neocallimastigales. RNAcentral's name for it is "partial large subunit ribosomal RNA". It matches the Rfam family "Eukaryotic large subunit ribosomal RNA", at positions 22 to 644 of the family's 3401-position model. The record is from RNAcentral. Lineage: Eukaryota; Fungi; Neocallimastigomycota; Neocallimastigomycetes; Neocallimastigales.
CAUAGCGACUAUCGUGGCAUAUCAAUAAGCGGAGGAAAAGAAACUAACAAGGAUUCCCUUAGUAACGGCGAGUGAAGCGGGAAGAGCUCAAAUUUGAAAUCUUCAAGGUUUUACCUUGACGAAUUGUAGUUUAUAGAAGUGUUUUCUGUUGAGUUUGGAGUGAAAAGUUCUUUGGAAUAGGACAUCAUAGAGGGUGAGAAUCCCGUAUUUGACCAUUAUUUUCAGCUGUGUGAUACACUUUCAAAGAGUCGGAUUGUUUGGGAAUGCAGUCCAAAAUGGGUGGUAAAUUUCAUCUAAAGCUAAAUAUUGGCGAGAGACCGAUAGCGAACAAGUACCGUGAGGGAAAGAUGAAAAGAACUUUGAAAAGAGAGUUAAGCAGUACGUGAAAUUGUCAAAAGGGAAGCGUUUGACACCAGUGUUGUCUUCUCGAAAAUCAAUUAAAAAAGGCCGGAUUUUGUGUUGUAUUGACCUUAAAAGCUUUCUUCACUCUUUUCUUGUCUUUUUUAAUGCACUUUUCGUUUAACAAGUCAACAUCAGUUUCUUUUGUUGUAAAAGGGUCAUUGGAAGGUGGCUUUCUUUUCGGAGAAAGUGUUUAUAGCCUUUGAUCUCUGCAACCGGAGAGACUGAGGUCUGCAGCGUAGACUCUUCGGGGUUAGAUACAUUUGUGCUAAGCUAUAGCUUUUUAUAGACAACUUGUUGACUAUAUUUAGUCUUGUGGCUUACUCGCUUAUGCUAUUUUACCUACGCUUAGGAUGUUGAAGAUAUGCGCGACACG